UACGUAGGGGGCAAGCGUUGUCCGGAAUCAUUGGGCGUAAAGCGCGUGUAGGCGGCUCGGUAAGUCCGCUCUGAAAGCCCGGGGCUCAACCCCGGGAGGCGGGUGGAUACUGCUGAGCUCGAGUCCGGAAGAGGAGUGUGGAAUUCCUGGUGUAGCGGUGAAAUGCGCAGAUAUCAGGAGGAACACCAAUGGCGAAGGCAGCACUCUGGGACGUGACUGACGCUGAGACGCGAAAGCGUGGGGAGCAAACAGG
RNAcentral lists this ribosomal RNA (253 nucleotides) under uncultured bacterium. RNAcentral's name for it is "partial 16S ribosomal RNA". It matches the Rfam family "Bacterial small subunit ribosomal RNA", at positions 524 to 776 of the family's 1533-position model. The record is from RNAcentral.